UCCCGAAGGAGGGCAUGCUGGCCGUCACGUGAGAGUGACGUAACCAUUUGCACAGUACGGAAGCUUUAAGAUACAAUUUAAGUUGAUACACCCGAAUGUGAGUCCUAAUUUUGUCCAAUCUGUCAGAACACCGUCGAAUUCCUCGUAGUCACCACACCUUUGUGAUUCCUGAACCUGGAGGGGCGCAAAACCAAAAUUGAGUGGGUCAGUAAAACAAUUCUUUUCCAAAUCCAAACAUUUCUCAAAACGUUGUAACCCCUCUCCGUAAAACCUGUAUACUUUCCCAGAAAUGUAAAAUAUAAUAUAUAUACAUAUAUAUUCUCAAGACUUCAAGUCAUUAACUCAACAUUUUCAUCAUAAUUAUGCCAUGCCACAUCAUCUCAACAUUUCUCAUAUUAAUUAUGCCAUGCCACAUCAUCUCAACAGUAAUAAGGUAUGAAUGCAUCAACAUAAUCAUAUCAGGUGCAAGAAAGUAAUCAACCGUAGGCCCUCUAAUAGCCCUGUACGGUUGAACCUAGAGCUCAAAAUCUAUCACUCUCACACUCUGCCGGAGUCACUCCGCGUGACCUGUACGGCCUUCUGCACAUAAGUUACGCUCUAGUGCUUCUCAUAAAUCAUCUGUGCACAUAAUCUAAGGUCACCCACCAGUCGGAAUCUCACUAACACUCUCGCGACUGGCCUGUCGUACCCACUCCGCGUGGACUGUACGACUAGCAUCUACUUGGAUCCAAGACGAGCAUGCGAUGCGGUGAAUACUAUAAGCACUAAACUAUGGUGCAGGAUUUGAGCUCAAUAUACAUCAACAUCAUCAUAACAGAAAUAAAUACUCACCUGUGCGUCCACCGCACCAUUUCAUACAUAUGCAUCAUAAAUCAAUUCUUACCUGUGCGUCCACCGCACCAAUUCAUACAUAUGCAUCAUAUAUUAAUUCUUACCUGUGCGUCCACCGCACCAAUUCAUACAUAUGCAUCAUAUAUUAAUUCAUGCAUGGCAUUUCAACUCACAUUUCUAUAUACUUUUCAUAUCAAUUCUAUGCAUGGUAUUUCACUUCCCGUUUUUCCACAUAACUCAUAUGCAUUUCAUUUUAAACAUAUUUUCAUUUCAAUUCAAUUUCUGGGAAACGUCAAGUAUAUAUAUAUACGGAAAACAAAACUGCCCACUCACAGAUUACAUCGACGUCUCGUAAGUCGCUGAGCAUCCCUUGGCCAUGCCCGAUGCUCGCAUAAGCCUCACCUUGCACAACACCUAGUUCGCCGUGGUUUGGCCGGAAACUGCCUCGAAAUCCUCGGAGGUCGCCGGAAACUGGGUAUUUUUCAAAUGAGUAUAACUUCUUCAAUACUCAACGAAAUUGAGUGAAACAAAAAGGAAAGUUGUAGUAUUUGACGAGACGAAGAGAUUGAUACCUACCUCAACUCCUAACUCACCGGGGAUUCGCCGGAAAGAGCCUCGAAAGCUCCGGCCAAACUUUGAACUUGUCGAUCUCCGUGUUCUUACGUCCAAAAACUUCCAACGAAGCACUCCGAGCUUCCUUGGGACUUCCUUAAGCUCACUGUGAGCUUGGUUUCACCUAAAACAAAGCCAAUUCGAAGAUCAUGAACAGUGCUCUUCACGGGAACUUUGAAACUAGGGGUUUUCCGAAGCAAAACUUACCUGAAAUGGAUACCAACGUGAUCGUGAAGUCCUCAGGAUUCCAAUGGUGGUCUCAAACUUGACGUUGGUAUAGAUUUAGGGUGGUUUUGUGGUGGUCCGUGUGAGUUCAAAGGAGAGGGAGAGAGAAAGUGAGGUCUGAGGAAGAGAGAGAGAGUACAUACGGGAAAUGGGGAGGGAAUCAGGGUAGGAGGCCCUACUUAAAUCCCAAACACAACUUUAAACAUACUAAUGUAAAUCCAAUUGUUAAAUUUUCGCCCCUUAGUCCCGCUUAAGGGCAUUUUGGUCUUUUCACGUCAUCGGAAUUAAAAUUCCGGGACGGGCUGUGACAAUCUUCCCUCCUUAUAGAAUUUCGUCCCCGAAAUUCCAGCAACCAACUAUAUCAACCAUACUCCAACAAUAGCUUCGGUUAAAAAUCUCUCAUCCGAUUCUUUUCCUCCCACAUAAUUUUCCACUCAAUGAUUUCCUUCACAAAGCUUUUACCACUUACUCUGUCUUAAUUCUCAGGACCUUCUUUUUCCAAUCCAAAGUCAUCCUUGGUUCCUUAUCAAGUCGAAUCCAAUUUAACUCUCAAUAGUUGCAUCAGAAUCCCAUGUGACGAAUUUGCCACCUAGUGACAACGCAUCGAAAUAUAAUACAUUAUGCACCUUAGCCAAUUUUGAAGGCAUCACAAACUUAUAUGCAACUUCAUCGAUUCCUUUAAUGAUCAAAACGGACUGAUGUGUUCAAGACUUAUCUUGUCUCAUUUCUGAAUCUUACUAUUUCUGUUCAUGGUGAAAUUCCAAAAAUAUCGAAUCAUGAAACACAUCAUGCACUUACAACAACUCUGGAAGCCAUUUAAAUAUGUAUUCAACUUCACCAACCUUUCGAUGAUCACAUAAAAUUCGGUUCACUUAGGAUUUAACUUGCCUUCCUAUCCAGACCGAAUCACACUUUUCCAAGGUGAAAACUUCGAAAAUAUAAAACCAUCUGUCUUAUACACUCGAUUAGUGGCAUAUCCCUCUGUUAAUCUCUUUUGCCAUUCCUGGUUACUUUCAGGUUAACUUAAUCACCUGAAUACUUUGAGGAGACUCAUCCAUAGUCUCAGGGUUUACAAAAACUCUUUCUUGAUCGAAUCUUUCUCUACCCAGAAAUAUUCCAUUCACAAGUCAACAAAACACACACAUGACACACUUCAUGAACCUUAUGGCUUCACUUCGGAAACUGCGCAACCAACAUACUUAAGAAACUUAGCAGUUCCGUAAACCAAUUCUUCUUUCUAUAAAACAAAUAAGUACCGUUACUCAACCCUGGAGUAAAUGUACUAACUUGGUACAUUGACCAACUAUCGCUUCAAAUUCAAUCAUAACCAUCCUAUGUAUCAUGAAACUUGUACACAUAAUCCAAAGUAAUAUUUUUCCAUUUCCACUGCGAAACAGAAAAUAACCGUCUCAAUCCAAAGGUUUACUUCUUUCUACUUCAAUCUGUUGACCAAUAAAAACGUCAAAUGGUAUACUAGAUCUCAAUACUUUUGGAAUAUUGCAGAAGUUGAACAGUGAACUUCGUCCAAUAUUUGCUUGCUUCAAAUCCUCAGCAUUAGGCACAUACUUUUUGUUUUCUUGUAUCCACAUACCAUUUGAUUCACGAAUCAUGUACUCAUUCUUUUUCCCUUCUUUCUCUGCCUUGGUUAAUUCUUAAAUUUCCUCGUCAAACAUUUAAAUUUCGAGUACGACCUUACCAAACAGGCCUAACUUGAAAAUUAACAAGUAUAACUUCUUAUCGAUCUUUCAUUCUUAACUUUACUUUAAUUGAUUUUCAAUCCACGAGAAGAUAAUCUUGGCAAGCAUGCCUGACAUUAAUCUUACUGUAGUCUUCUCACCAAGUGCUUCAGCUAGAACAAUUCUACGAUCACCCUGAUCGUACAAUCAUGUUCAUUUAACAAUACAAUUCACUUUCGCUGCCUCAUAUCAAAAUCUUUCCAAGUAAUGAAUAUUGAAGACUUUUGGAUUCGUAAAAUCUUGCAUUCUUAUCAACAUUUAAGGUCUCCAUAACUUCAACGCAAUGAUGGUAAUCGUGACUUCCAAAUCACCAGUAGGGUAAUUCAUCUCAUGAGAUUCCAUUUGUCGUGAAACGUAUGCAAUCACCCUAACAUUUGUAUCAAUACAAAUCCAAGAUAGCCUGGUAAGCUAAGAAAUUCCGAAUCUCAAUUAUAGCUCGUGGUUGUUCCAAAUUCUCAAUUUCUGUUAUCUUUUAAGGAUUCACUUGAAUACCUUAAGAAUAUAUAACAAAUCUCAGAAUGCCACCUGAUUCAUCUAACUUUAGCAUUUGCUACUUAGCAUACAACCAACGUUCUCUCAAUCUUUGCUUCACCGACUUAAUACGUUUACAUGCUCUGCUCUGGCUCAGAAUAUGCCAGAAUAUCUUCAAUGAAAAUGAUAUCAAUUUAUCAAGGCAUUAUUGGAAUACUUCAUCCAUCAACUCAUAAAACCGCAUGAGUAUCCACAUAGCAUCACCAAACUUCAUAAGGACCAUAACAAGUCCAGAAAACCAUCUUAUGAUCAACGUCACUUAUAAUAUUCAAUUGGUAGUAACCAGAUCUCAAUUCAAUCUUUGAAUCUUCGCAAUUACUUCUGAGCUGGUUAAAUAAACAUCAGUACAUCACCAUGGAUAACGGUUCUCAAUCGUUACCCGACUCCAUUGUCUAUAAUCAAUGAACAGUCUCAAGAUCCAUUUUCUUCCUCACCAACAAACUGGGGCUCCUCAAAAGUGUUGUACUAGGUUGAAUAAAACUUUUAUCAACCAAUUCUUUCAACGGAAUUUCCAAUUCCCUUAACUCAUCAUGAACCAAUCUUUAACAUAAAUCUAUACCUGGCAACAAAUCAAUAGUGAAUCUCAUAUCUCUGCCUGAAGGCAAUCCAGGUAUACUUUCAGGGAAGACAUCAAGAAAAGUCUAACCCUUUCGACAUUAUUCACACUACUCCAAACAACAUCAUUUAGCACCACAUGAGCUAAGUAUUUUUGGGCAGCCUUUCAAAACAAUAUCUUUGCUUUCACAUCAUAAAUAAUGGCUGAACUCAUUUCACUUUGUAUGCCCACCAAAGUAACCUCUAAUUAAUCAACUCGAUGGAAAGUAACUGGUUUCCCGUAACAUUCCAUCUAGUCACAACUAUAAACAAUCAAUCUAAUGGAAUAAAAUUAACUGACCCAAUACAUACUUUAUUAUUACUGAACAUUCUAAAUAAGUACAACACUAACAUAAAAUAACCUACCGGUUUGCUUGCUUAACGAAUCCACGAAUGAGUUAUUAAUAUUACGGUCUGCAGCCCGCAAUACUGAUAAAUCAUCGUUGUCUCGAUAAGUAGGCAACCACUCUCAAAGAUAUAACAUACAUAAUAAGAAAUAUAUCAGUCGAAGUCAACUAGAAUGAUCAAUACGGCUGAUUCAACUCUUAUCUCAAUAAUACGUCGGCCGGAUCCACUCCGCGUGGACGGUACGGCCGAACCUAUAACUCACCAAUUUCUCAUGUGUCAGUCGAAUCCACUUCUCAUGGUCUGUACGGCUGAACAUAUAACUCAUCAAAUCUCUCUGUACUCACGGUCAAUCCGACCAAACUACUAAGUCCAUAACUCUGCUGAAUCGACACUAUGAUAUCAUGGAAAAUUGUUGAGUACAACUGAUUCUAGGGACGAUUCACAAUUAUGUGUCCCCUCUGUUCACAUAAACACAUUCAUUAAUUUCACACUUCCCAAAGUGUUAAUUUUUUACCUGCUGCACAAGGUACAUUUCCUUUACUCGAGACACCUUGUCUCAAAUAUCGGGGAUUACCAGUAUAUCCAUCACUUUUAUUCUGACCAGCGACAUUAAAACCUCAGCUGGAAGAAUUAACUCUAGCUUCACUUCUUUCGAAGCUCUGAAUCUUUCUAUAUCCUUGAUAUGACAAAUCAUUAACUGUAUCGUCUUCAUUUGAUUCCCAUUCAUUUCUUAUUCUUCUUUAUUCUCGUUGCUCAUGUUCUCAGAGUCCUCAAGACUCAACAGCAUCUCGUAUAUUCCUGGUAAGAAGUACAAUGGAUAAUGGUCACCCAAAAUACCACUUCCCUUUUGCCACCCAGCUUAAAACAACAUAACACCUCCACCAAAUUAACAACAAUAUCUGGAUGGAACGAGGCAAGUCUGAAAACUUUCUAUAAUAUCCCUCGAUCAUCACUUUCCUUGUCUCAUAUUUGUAAACUCUUGUUUACUACCAUCGAUAAAUGCCGGAGGGAUAAAAUUUUCCUUAAACAAGUCCUUAAACAAUUUAAAUCGGCUGCUUCCUCUGGUGACAACAAUUAAUACUCCUGCUUCCAUCAGGAUACACGUUCAUAACUCAAACCAGGUAGUCGUCUCGACCCACCUGUCAGAAGGAAAUUUCCUUUAACUUGCAUAUUCCGAAACAUCUUUUCCAAAUGGUUAAACCGUCACUUCGUUCCCUCAGGUUCAUCAUUUCUCUUAGGUGAUUCAAGUUCAACUCAUUACCCAUCUUAAAAUGUCCAUUUUGAUAAUAUACUGAAUCACCAUAAUAAUAGUUUCCCCCUAAACCGCUAAAUCAGGGAGACUAAGUUCCUCUAACUACGUGGUUUGCUACGAGGCGGUGUAGUUCUGACAGAAUUUACUAGAACUUCUCAAAAUGUCCAAGAUUGCAACCAUGCUCUGAUACCAACUGACACACCCCGUCCCGAAGGAGGGCAUGCUGGCCGCCACGUGAGAGUGACGUAACCAUUUGCACAGUACGGAAGCUUUAAGAUACAAUUUAAGUUGAUACACCCGAAGGUGAGUCCUAAUUUUGUCCAAUCUGUCAGAACACCGUCGAAUUCCUCGUAGUCACCACACCUUUGUGAUUCCUGAACCUGGAGGGGCGCAAAACCAAAAUUGAGUGGGUCAGUAAAACAAUUCUUUUCCAAAUCCAAACAUUUCUCAAAACGUUGUAACCCAUCUCCGUAAAACCUGUAUACUUUCCCAGAAAUGUAAAAU
Molecule: long non-coding RNA, 6633 nt
Filed under: Malus domestica (apple)
Lineage: Eukaryota; Viridiplantae; Streptophyta; Magnoliopsida; Rosales; Rosaceae
Description: long non-coding RNA (MDOM_LNC005318)
Source: RNAcentral